UACAGAGGGGGCAAGCGUUGUUCGGAAUUACUGGGCGUAAAGGGCGCGUAGGCGGCCUUCUAAGUCGAACGUGAAAUCCCCGGGCUCAACCCGGGAACUGCGUCCGAUACUGGAAGGCUUGAAUCCGGGAGAGGGGUGUGGAAUUCCAGGUGUAGCGGUGAAAUGCGUAGAUAUCUGGAGGAACACCGGUGGCGAAGGCGACAUCCUGGACCGGUAUUGACGCUGAGGCGCGAAAGCCAGGGGAGCAAACGGG
This 253-nucleotide ribosomal RNA is filed under the name uncultured bacterium. Its description in RNAcentral is "partial 16S ribosomal RNA". It matches the Rfam family "Bacterial small subunit ribosomal RNA", at positions 524 to 776 of the family's 1533-position model. The record is from RNAcentral.